UACGGGGGGGGCAAGCGUUGUUCGGAAUUACUGGGCGUAAAGGGCUCGUAGGCGGCCAACUAAGUCAGACGUGAAAUCCCUCGGCUUAACCGGGGAACUGCAUCUGAUACUGGAUGGCUUGAGUUCGGUAGGGGAGACUGGAAUUCCUGGUGUAGCGGUGAAAUGCGCAGAUAUCAGGAGGAACACCGGUGGCGAAGGCGGGUCUCUGGGCCGAUACUGACGCUGAGGAGCGAAAGCGUGGGGAGCGAACAGG
This 253-nucleotide ribosomal RNA is filed under the name uncultured bacterium. Its description in RNAcentral is "partial 16S ribosomal RNA". It matches the Rfam family "Bacterial small subunit ribosomal RNA", at positions 524 to 776 of the family's 1533-position model. The record is from RNAcentral.